GAUUAUUGAUAGGUUGUGAUAAAGAGAUAAAACCUAAGUUGAGAUUUGUAAUCAGCGAAUCAGGCAAGUAUCCUACCUUUGCAUUUUCUUUAUGCAAUGGACAUGAGUAAGAAGUUUCAGAAUUAUUCUAUUCCUGUACAGAUUAUGUACGCUUUGAUUAUCAACAUGUUAGCUCAGAUAUAUAUUCUGUUAAGUUGAUUUCUAAAUGGUUAUACAAGUGUCCCCACUUGGAUAAUCAUGGCAUUUAUUCACAUGUUGAUAUACCUUUGUCAAUUACCCGUAUAUAUAUAUGUUGAAUUACAUAUUAUUGUUGAGCAAGAUUAAAAACCUUCGGGUUUGGAACCAGGCAUGUAUGAACAUCCCUAUAUGGGAAGAUUUUUGCGCAAGGCGGAUAGAGUGAGCGAUGAAUUUCGUUCAAGUUAUGUAGUAUUGAUCAAUACAGGGUACAACGGGGCUGAUCACCCUCCGUGCCCGUAAGUUAUGACGGUUUGAGGAUAGAAUUCCGCUAAACCUUUUCGAAAAUGAAAAGAAUGUUCAUAGUAUGUUUCUUAAACCCUAUUCAAGGGUAGAGCCAGAGCCAAAUUUAAAGAAUUUGAAAGAGAGUUGUUAUGUGAAUUUUUUAUCAGUACAGAUUACUUCACAACUUUCGAUUCGUUGUAGAAGUGUUAUGUAAAGAGAAUACUUAUAUUCUUUCAGCUUAUAUAUAUAAUUGCUAUUACUUGCUGGGCACUCAAAUGCUCAUCCUUGCUUAAAUUAAAUGUUUUCAGUUAUGUAUGAGCAACCUGAAGGCUCAGGCACGAACAAGGGGAAAGGAAAGCUGUUCGAAUGAGUUUAUAUUAUGAGUUAAUGGUUAUAGUUAGUAAGACAAUGGAAUCUAUUGUCAGGUAUUGUAAGGAAUGUAUUUGAAGGUCACGUACCUGGGGAAGUAAACUUUGAUGUAUGUAAAUUAAGUUCGAAUGUAUUAUUAUUUAGUAUUAUUCAGCUUAAAGAAAUGGUAUCGUGGAGAACCGAGUUCGGGUUUCAAGUACCUGGAUUUGGGGUCGCCACAGAUGCCUUCGAAGAGAUUUAUUAUGUGUUAAAAUUGAUUUUACAUCAGUUAGCAUUGUUGUUGAGCACACACGCACUAUAUUAGUGAUAAC
Molecule: long non-coding RNA, 1139 nt
Filed under: Panax ginseng (ginseng)
Lineage: Eukaryota; Viridiplantae; Streptophyta; Magnoliopsida; Apiales; Araliaceae
Description: long non-coding RNA (PGIN_LNC010475)
Source: RNAcentral